This is a non-coding RNA of Styela clava, 722 nucleotides long. NCBI's taxonomy places the organism in Eukaryota, Metazoa, Chordata, Ascidiacea, Stolidobranchia, Styelidae. The record is from RefSeq and is a predicted model, not a curated record.
GUAAGUUUUGCAAAGAAAUAGAAAAAUGUUAGUCUGGUUUAUAAUGGGAGUAAAUUUUCUACACUCGCUACAAAAAUAAGUGAAGAUUUUUUCAUGUUGCUAGGAUAGUGUUACUGUGAAGAACAAGUGGAAGCGGUUAAAGGCGAAAUAUAAUCAAAUUAAAACGAAAACAUCACAAUCUGGAAAAAGUUCCAGGUCUGCGUUGAAUUGGCCAUAUUUUAGGGCCAUGCAUGAGCUUCUUGGCUCCAGACCAAGAUUGCAGGCUUUGGCCUCCAUGAUUGGUGUUGAUACCAGUGAGCCGUCAAUCGCACAAGGCCAUAGUUUCGACGCAACCGUCACUCAGUUUGUGGCUGAAAUAGAGGUUGACAAUCUAGAUAGCAGUCUCCUGCAAGAAGAUGUCGGAGGGUGAGUUGCAACAGGAACUGCCGCAGGGUUUGUCGAAGAGUCAUUUUUAAUUUUUUAUGUUUAUGAUUAGCGUCUCCAACCCGAAUUACGGUUUGAGGCAAUGUAUUUAUAAAUUAUUGUAAUAUGCUUUAUCUUCAGUUGAUGAAAGUGUCAGCCAUGCUCCACCAACUUCAAGCCAGCGAGGCAGGAGAAGACAGAGUAGCAGAGAAAAUUAUGAUUCCAGAACUGAAGCUCUCUUGAGAGUAUUUCGGGAAGAAUGUGAAAAAGAUAUACUUGCAUUUGCAUCAGCUUUGGAGAAUUCAACAAAUAAAAUAUUA